RNAcentral lists this ribosomal RNA (253 nucleotides) under uncultured bacterium. RNAcentral's name for it is "partial 16S ribosomal RNA". It matches the Rfam family "Bacterial small subunit ribosomal RNA", at positions 524 to 776 of the family's 1533-position model. The record is from RNAcentral.
UACGUAGGGCGCAAGCGUUGUCCGGAAUCACUGGGCGUAAAGGGCGCGUAGGUGGCGCGGGCAGUCAACGGUGAAAGUUCGGGGCUCAACCCUGAAUCAGCCGUCGAUACUCCCGUGCUUGAGCACUGUAGAGGCAGAUGGAAUUCCGGGUGUAGCGGUGGAAUGCGUAGAGAUCCGGAAGAACACCGGUGGCGAAGGCGGUCUGCUGGGCAGUAGCUGACACUGAGGCGCGACAGCGUGGGGAGCAAACAGG